UCCAUGGGGAUUGCGAUCUCCCCAUGAGGCGACAGCCGAAGCAUCGCGUCCCGAAAUUUUCCGAGGGCGCAUUAUG
Molecule: non-coding RNA, 76 nt
Filed under: unclassified sequences
Description: chrB RNA
Rfam family: chrB-a RNA
Source: RNAcentral